Molecule: ribosomal RNA, 493 nt
Filed under: uncultured Fusibacter sp.
Lineage: Bacteria; Bacillati; Bacillota; Clostridia; Eubacteriales; Fusibacteraceae
Description: bacterial SSU rRNA
Rfam family: Bacterial small subunit ribosomal RNA
Source: RNAcentral
GCCCGCUCAGAAACUCAAAGGAAUUGACGGGGGCCCGCACAAGCGGUGGAGCAUGUGGUUUAAUUCGAUGAUACGCGAAGAACCUUACCAGGUCUUGACAUCCCCCGCGAUGCUUUAGAGAUAAAGCGGAGGUAUUCGGGGAGACAGGUGGUGCAUGGUUGUCGUCAGCUCGUGUCGUGAGAUGUUGGGUUAAGUCCCGCAACGAGCGCAACCCUUGUGUUUUAGUUGCAAACAGGUCAAGCUGUGCACUCUAGACAGACUGCCGUGGACAACACGGAGGAAGGUGGGGAUGACGUCAAAUCAUCAUGCCCCUUAUGAUCUGGGCUACACACGUGCUACAAUGGCCGGUACAACGGGCAGCGAAGGAGCGAUCCGGAGCGAAUCCUAAAAAGCCGGUCCCAGUUCGGAUUGCAGGCUGAAACUCGCCUACAUGAAGUUGGAGUUGCUAGUAAUCGCGAAUCAGAAUGUCGCGGUGAAUGCGUUCCCGGGUCUU